Molecule: ribosomal RNA, 464 nt
Filed under: uncultured organism
Description: bacterial SSU rRNA
Rfam family: Bacterial small subunit ribosomal RNA
Source: RNAcentral
GAUGAACGCUGGCGGCGUGCCUAACACAUGUAAGUCGAACGUGAGGGUGCUAGCAAUAGUGCCUGAAAGUGGCGAACGGGUGAGUAACACGUGGAUAACCUACCCUGGAGUGGGGGAUAACGACUGGAAACGGUCGCUAAUACCGCAUACGACUCUCUGCACGGGAGUGUAGAGAAUGAAAGAUUUAUCGCUCCAGGAGGGGUCUGCGUCCGAUUAGCUAGUUGGUGGGGUAAUGGCCUACCAAGGCGAUGAUCGGUAGCUGGUCUGAGAGGAUGAUCAGCCACACGGGAACUGAGACACGGUCCCGACUCCUACGGGGGGCAGCAGUGAGGAAUAUUGCACAAUGGGGGAAACCCUGAUGCAGCAACGCCGCGUGGAGGAUUGAAGGUCCUUGGAUUGUAAACUCCUUUUCUGAGGGACGAGAGAGGACGGUACCUCAGGAAUAAGUCACGGCUAACUACGUG